RNAcentral lists this unclassified non-coding RNA (330 nucleotides) under uncultured fungus. RNAcentral describes it as "partial contains 5.8S ribosomal RNA and internal transcribed spacer 2". The stretch from base 1 to 133 matches the Rfam family "5.8S ribosomal RNA", at positions 22 to 154 of the family's 154-position model. The record is from RNAcentral. Lineage: Eukaryota; Fungi.
UGGUUCUGGCAUCGAUGAAGAACGCAGCGAAAUGCGAUAAGUAAUGUGAAUUGCAGAAUUUAGUGAAUCAUCGAAUCUUUGAACGCACAUUGCGCCCUUUGGCAUUCCGAAGGGCACAUCUGUUCGAGCGUCAUUACAAAUCUUCAAGUUUACUUGGAUUUGAAUACUUUUUUCUUUUAGAAAACAUAUUCCAAAGACCUUAGCAGUACCGUUUAGAUCUCAAACGUAUUUAUCAAAAAGCCGUUUGUCAGAUAUGAAUGUUGCUUGCUUGAUGUAUGAUUUAUCAUAACACCUUCGGUUGACCUCGAAUCAGAUGGGGAUACCCGCUGA